Non-coding RNA from Oreochromis niloticus (Nile tilapia), 114 nucleotides. Lineage: Eukaryota; Metazoa; Chordata; Actinopteri; Cichliformes; Cichlidae. The record is from Rfam.
GUCGGUUAUGGAGAUAUGUAUCCCUCCACUAUCGGAGGUAAAUUCGUCGGAUCCUUGUGCGCCAUCGCCGGAGUGCUGACUAUAGCGCUACCUGUUCCUGUGAUCGUGUCCAAU